Molecule: ribosomal RNA, 496 nt
Filed under: uncultured cyanobacterium
Lineage: Bacteria; Bacillati; Cyanobacteriota
Description: bacterial SSU rRNA
Rfam family: Bacterial small subunit ribosomal RNA
Source: RNAcentral
AGAGUUUGAUCCUGGCUCAGGAUGAACGCUGGCGGCGUGCUUAACACAUGCAAGUCGAACGAACCUUCGGGUUAGUGGCGGACGGGUGAGUAACGCGUGGGAAUCUGCCCUCAGGAGGGGGAUAACGGCUGGAAACGGCCGCUAAUACCCCAUAUGCCGCGAGGUGAAAUGAAUUUCGCCUGAGGAUGAGCCCGCGUCUGAUUAGCUAGUUGGUGAGGUAAUGGCUCACCAAGGCGUCGAUCAGUAGCUGGUCUGAGAGGAUGAUCAGCCACACUGGGACUGAGACACGGCCCAGACUCCUACGGGAGGCAGCAGUGGGGAAUUUUCCGCAAUGGGCGAAAGCCUGACGGAGCAACGCCGCGUGAGGGAUGAAGGCCUCUGGGCUGUAAACCUCUUUUCUCAAGGAAGAAGAUCUGACGGUACUUGAGGAAUAAGCCACGGCUAAUUCCGUGCCAGCAGCCGCGGUAAUACGGGAGUGGCAAGCGUUAUCCGGAAU